UCCGAUAUGGUGUAGUGGCUAACAUUAUCGCCUUUCAAACGGCCAUGUGACUAUUACAUGACUCGUACGCGAUAGCGCUGGGUUCGAUUCCCAGUAUCGGAG
Molecule: transfer RNA, 102 nt
Organism: Rhizoctonia solani AG-1 IA
Lineage: Eukaryota; Fungi; Basidiomycota; Agaricomycetes; Cantharellales; Ceratobasidiaceae
Rfam family: tRNA
About the family: Transfer RNA (tRNA) molecules are approximately 80 nucleotides in length. Their secondary structure includes four short double-helical elements and three loops (D, anti-codon, and T loops). Further hydrogen bonds mediate the characteristic L-shaped molecular structure. tRNAs have two regions of fundamental functional importance: the anti-codon, which is responsible for specific mRNA codon recognition, and the 3' end, to which the tRNAs corresponding amino acid is attached (by aminoacyl-tRNA synthetases). tRNAs cope with the degeneracy of the genetic code in two manners: having more than one tRNA (with a specific anti-codon) for a particular amino acid; and 'wobble' base-pairing, i.e. permitting non-standard base-pairing at the 3rd anti-codon position.
Source: Rfam